This is a long non-coding RNA of Neofelis nebulosa (Clouded leopard), 963 nucleotides long. RefSeq lists it as uncharacterized. The record is from RefSeq and is a predicted model, not a curated record. NCBI's taxonomy places the organism in Eukaryota, Metazoa, Chordata, Mammalia, Carnivora, Felidae. The transcript is spliced from 4 exons.
GUGGACGAGGCCGUCUCCGCAGGGACCCAACGCCCCUCCAAAGUAGGGGACACUCCCCACAGCCUACCGCAGCUCUGGCAGCGACGUCCACUAACUCUGUACCUCUCUCCAGUGCCACGCAUCCCGGCCCCCGUCCCCCCACCUCCUCUUUAUCCCACCCCAGCCUGACCCCUAGUCACCCACCCUAGUGUCCAGGACCUUGGGGCCCCGCUGAGAAGGGGAUGAGAGGCAGCUACUUCCUUCUUCCACCUUUGCACGAUGCCUAAGUACACGAACACGCCCAAGCACCACCCACAACGAUCUCAGUGGGUCCAGCCUCUGAGGGGCAGGGAGGGCAAUGCCGUGGAUAGAAAGACCUGCGUGUGAAUUCUUCCUCCAACAUUUAUUACCCGUGUGACCCAGGGAUCCCGGGCUCCUCCAGUCCUCAGUGUCUUCAUCUAGAAAACGGAAACACAAAAAGUAGCGAUCUCCUACGUCGCUGUGGGGACUAAGGGGGAAAAGAAAUGGAAAGCACUUGGCAGAGUCACAGACACGUGUGCUGGUUUUCCUUUCCCUCAAGGUUUGGAUCCUUUAACGGAAACACAGAGCUGGUGAUCUGCUUGGGCCGGGGAACAGUCACACCCUCCCAGGGGAAUCUGUGAUUAGGAAAUGUUACCAAACCUAGAGACAAGGCCAAGACAGAAAGUGCACGCUCAAAGUGCUGUUCAGCAGGCUUGCCCACGUGAAUGUACCACGGUGGUUUGUUAGUUGCCGUUAGCGAAGGGCACAGGCUCUUAAGAAGUUACCAGUGAACUUGUGGAUUUGUUUUACAGCAGGAAGGAACGUCGGCCCCGGGUGACCAUUUCUUGCCCCAGCUGUUUCUUCCGUAAAGAGCUACAUAAACUCCAGUCCCUCAAGUGCUCUGGGAAUCAGCUUUAUCAGCUUACGAUUCCCUCAUCAGUUAAUAAAAUUGAAUGAAAUCUU